Cervus elaphus (red deer) is the source of this 4438-nucleotide long non-coding RNA. RefSeq lists it as uncharacterized. Lineage: Eukaryota; Metazoa; Chordata; Mammalia; Artiodactyla; Cervidae. The transcript has 10 exons. The record is from RefSeq and is a predicted model, not a curated record.
GACUCAAUGGACAUGAGUUUGAGCAAACUCUGGGAGAUGGUGAAGGACAGGGAAGCCCGGCGUGCUGGCAGUCCAUGGGGUCACAAAGAGUCAGACGCGACUGAGUGACUGAAAAACACCAAGACAUUUUUGAACCUCACUAACACAGUGUCUCAUGUCUCCACGACAGUCUCCAGGAAUUGGCUGUUUGGCCUCCUUGGAUGCCUAUAAUACUCUGCAAUGCUUUCAGUGCCCACGAUUAGGAUGAAAAUAAUAAUGAAGAACAGAAACUCACUGGCGGAGAGAAACACACCUCUUAAACAGUUGCUUCAGCUCCUCUUCUUUCCUUUCCCUUGAAAGUGCUUUUCAAGUUUUCAUCGAAGAACAUCUUUGUGAUCAGAUUAACCAAAUGUUGACCCCAAUAAGGAAGCUAAGACUGAGAGAAGAUCAGUAGAGACCUUUCAAGCCUCUAAUAUGUGAGUUCAAGUUUUUAAUUCAUUUUUGGGGGAAAUGACUAAUCCCCACCACCAUCAUCAUAACCCUCACCACCACCAUCAUCAUCACCGCCUCCACUUCCAUCAUCACAGUCACCAUUGCCAGCAUCACUAGUACCACUGUCUGUCACACUUGUGUUACCCGUAUGAUGUUUCUCUUACACCAUCAUGGAGAUCAUAACACUGGUGAGGAAAUGACCAGCUCGAAGCAGAUACUAACUUUCCCUGCCCCCUCACCCCCACCCCAAUGAGCUGGCACGUGGUGGGGGCAGUGCAUGGCAGAGCUGGGCUGCUCCUAAGAGUCUUCUGGCCAGGAUAUUGAUGAAAAAAAAACCAAAAUAUGGCACCGUGGAUCCCGAUGAGUGUCACCUUCUGAUGCUGAAAUUCAAUCUCAAAAUGAACCAAAGGGACCAUCUACUGAUGACCCACGUUUCCUUUAAAGAAUGCACACAUCUCUCUCAUUUCUUUUUCCCCGCUAGGAACUCUACUCACCUGUAGUUAAUCUAAGAAUUAACAUUUAGCAGAAUACUGCCUCAGUGCCUUAAUGAGUCCUUCUUUAAUUUGGAAGUGAUCCAAUCAAGAAAACAAAACACUCCACCCCGCAUCAGGGUCAGCAAUUUAGGAGGUGAUGGGAGCUGAGUUCUGGGAUGCUGCUGACUUGGACAGAGGAGCCCCUGCAGCCCCUGAGAGCCACACCUGGCCCCUCGGACACUGAACUCAUGGCCGCCUAGCACUCAGAUGACGGGGGAGCUGUGCCUCCUUGGCAGGCAGGACCCUGCCAACAGGUAAAGCUGCUUUCAGCCAACGAUAUUCCCUGUGCCAGGGACUGUGCACAGACUGGGAGAUGAAUUGGGGGACAGACUGUGAUGGUCUCUGACCUUCUGGAGGCUCAGCUGAGCUGGGGAGAUGGAUGCUUCAUGAGGGACUAAGCUAACAGAGGAAAUGAUGCUCUGAAGGAAGUGGAAAUGGGUGACUAUCAGGGCUGGACUGUUUUGGAUUUGAAGGCAAUGCAAGCACUUUCUGAGGAGAGUACCUUUAAACCAAAUUAACAAUUGUGGUGCUGGAGAAGACUCUUGAGAGUCACUUGGACUGCAGGGAGAUCCAACCAGUUAAUCCUUAAAGAAGUCAAACCUGAACAUUUGUUGGAAGGGCCGAUGCUGAAGCUCCAAUACUUUGGCCACCUGAUGCGAAGAGCCGACUCGUUGGAAAAGAUCCUGAUACAGGGAAAGAUUGAGGGCAGGUGGAGAAGGGGACGACAGAGGAUGAGGAAGUUGGAUGGCAUCACUGACUCAAUGGAUAUGAGUUUAAGAACACUCUGGGAGAUGGAGAAGGACAGGAAAGCCUGGCGUGCUGCAGCUCAUGGGAUUGCAGAGUCAGAUGUGUUCAGCUGAUCGUGAACAAUAAGAGCAACAAUGAGGAGACGGGGCCAGCAGGUGGAGGAAGGCAGAGGCAACUCAGCCUCUCCACAGAGUGACCUGCAGAGCAGUGAGCCGUCAGGAUGAGGUCUGAGAGGCCGGCAGGCAUCGGAUCACAUCUGGCCCCAUACAUGCUUUAUGUCCCUCCAUGUGCUUCACUGAAGAAAUCAACACUUGAAAAUUUUGGGGAUUCUUUAUUGAGGUUCCACAUAUGGAAGCUGCAAAGAGCAGAAACACGUGACUCCACGGAUUAUCCUGGUGGGAAUGCAUCCCAGUAACCACCCCCAGACAUUCAGUGAAUGGGAUGCUUCUCACUGCAAUGUUGAGGGUGAUCCUUUUAACUCCAUCCACCCAUUCGAAGGCCAGUCUCCUCCAGAAACGCCCUCAACAGACACACCAGAAAUAGUUUCAACAGCUCUCUGGGCCUCCCUUAGCCCCAUCAAGUUAACCCAUCAUGCCAACCAUCACAAAUAACUGUGUGUGAAGGGUGAAAGCCCCAUGUCUCUGAAGCCAGUGGGUGUUCACAAGAGGAUUAUGGGAACAGGGACAGAAGUGCCUGGAUGUACUGUUCAGAGCUGGCAGGACCCGACCUCUAAAAGGAAGACUUAAAAUGAUGUUUUUGACAUCAACACUUUCCCCAAAGCUGAUGUUCCCUGGGAGGAGGAAAGAGAAGAAGCCGACCUCCUUCAGAGCAUCUCUAGCUCUUUAAGGACUCAGCAGAGCCUGAAGCUGGGCCAUGGAAAUGCCAUGAUCACUAGUUCCAUCCAGUAACAGUCCUGAAAACUCUUAGUUGCUCAGUUGUGUCCGACUCUUUGCGACCCAACGGACUGCAGCCUGCCAGGCUCUUCUGUCCAUGGGAUUUCCCAGGCAAGAAUACUGGAGUGGGUUGCCAUUUCCUUCUCCUGAGGAUCUUCCCCACCCAGGGAUCGAACCUGGGUCUCCUGUGUCGCAGCCACCUGCCACCGCAGCCGCCUGCUGGCCUCCUGGGAACCACAGGGUGGAAGUCGCUGCUGCAAGUGACCUGAGCUGUUUCUCCCCUCGGUUUCCUUCCAUCCCUGCCCUGGCUUGCAGGUCUCACUGCAGCUCUUGGAGCCAUAGCUGUCUCCUCUGUCCUGUGUUGCCUUUCUUGUGGAGCACCCAUCCUCGGCCAGCCGAGCCCUUCACCCCGUGGGAAGCUCUGGCCCCUCUCUGCUGCCUGUGGGCCAAGCCCUGUUUGGACUUGGACAGUGGCCUUCCAACUGUACAAACACCUGCUUGUUAUCACCAAGGGUGGAUGGUCUUCUAGGAUUGGUCCAAGGUCUCAGUCAACUCUUAAAAGGCACAGAAAAGCGAGGAUGGGAGACAUACAACAUGGACUGCGUCUGUGUGACAGAGCGGAGCCUAGCGGAUGGGUGCCUCCAAGAUGCAAGUUCUUAGGAGCGGAGAUGCCCUGACCCCCCUCCACACGCGGCAUCUGGAGCCACGGCUGUUCAGAGGAAAAGGCUGAAUGAAUGAAUGGGAUAUGAUAUGCAUUUGACUUUGACUUGCUGAUAACUGGGAAGCUUCUUCCACUGCUUGCUCUGGUUUGGGAUCUGACAGCACACUGUCAUCCUCACUCAGGUUGUUUUCCUUCCAAACUGGGAAGAUGAGACUCAGCUUCUGAGUAUAGUCUCAGUGAUUAAUUCAAACCAGAAACUGUGAGCUUAGGGCAAGAAAUGUCCUUCUGUGGUUUCCAGCAUCUCCUCGGCCCUGUAGCCUUGGAGCCUUGACAGUCCCCAAUGGGAGGCCUGGCUUCUUACUAGAAAUUGAUUUCACCAUCAUACUUUUUUUUUUCCCUUCUGUAUCCAGACAUUUUUUUUUUCCUGGCCAGCUUUUUAAAACCCUUGGCCUCAAAAUCUUAGUUCCCCACAUCCGGCUCCCCCACCUCAACCCACAAAUAAACUGUCACUUGCUUUGGGCUUUCUUUCCAGUGCAACCAUCCCUGCUUUGUAAAAGAAAUGACAAAUUAAACAAUUUUUAAAAACUGUAUGAUUCCUUUUAUUUAUUAAUUGAAGUAUAGUUGAUUUACAAUGUUGUGUUAAUUAUUGCUAUAUAGCAAAGGGAUUCAAAGGUAUAUAUCUGAAUAUCUAUCUAUCUAUAUAUACACAUGCUUUUUUUUCAAUAUUCUUUUCCAUUAUGGUUUGUCAUAGGAUUUAAAAAAAAUACUGAAUUUGUUACAAUAUUGUUUCUGUUUUAUGUUUUGGUUUUUGACCUUGGGCAUGUGGGAUCUUAGUUCCCUGACCAGGGAUCAAAUCCUCACCCCCUGCUUUGAAAGGCAAAGUCUUAACCACUGGACCCCCAGAGAAGUCCUUAGUGCAGGAUAUUGGAUACAGUUCUCUUUGCUGUACGGUGGGAUCUUGAUGUUUAACAGUUUUUUUUUUAAAUUGUAAUAAAAAAGUACAACAUACAAUUUAUCAUCUUUACCAUUUUUAAUUGUACAGUUCAGUAGCAUUGAGCAUACUCACAUUGUUGUGAAAAAGAGCUUUAGAACUUGCAAAUCGGAAAGUCUAUCUCCGUGAAAGGACAACUCCA